GGGAACCCUGAUGCAGCCAUGCCGCGUGAAUGAAGAAGGCCUUCGGGUUGUAAAGUUCUUUCGGUGAUGAGGAAGGGUGAUGUUUUAAUAGAGCAUUACAUUGACGUUAGUCACAGAAGAAGCACCGGCUAACUCCGUGCCAGCAGCCGCGGUAAUACGGAGGGUGCGAGCGUUAAUCGGAAUGACUGGGCGUAAAGGGCACGCAGGCGGUGACUUAAGUGAGAUGUGAAAGCCCCGAGCUUAACUUGGGAAUUGCAUUUCAUACUGGGUGGCUAGAGUAUUUUAGGGAGGGGUAGAAUUCCACGUGUAGCGGUGAAAUGCGUAGAGAUGUGGAGGAAUACCGAAGGCGAAGGCAGCCCCUUGGGAAAAUACUGACGCUCAUGUGCGAAAGCGUGGGGAGCAAACAGGAUUAGAUACCCUGGUAGUCCACGCUGUAAACGCUGUCGAUUUGGGGAUUGGGCUUUAUGUUUGGUGCCCGUAGCUAACGUGAUAAAUCGACCGCCUGGGGAGUACGGCCGCAAGGUUAAAACUCAAAUGAAUUGACGGGGGCCCGCACAAGCGGUGGAGCAUGUGGUUUAAUUCGAUGCAACGCGAAGAACCUUACCUACUCUUGACAUCCUAAGAAGCUUUCAGAGAUGAGAGUGUGCCUUCGGGAACUUAGAGACAGGUGCUGCAUGGCUGUCGUCAGCUCGUGUUGUGAAAUGUUGGGUUAAGUCCCGCAACGAGCGCAACCCUUAUCCUUUGUUGCCAGCGAUUCGGUCGGGAACUCAAAGGAGACUGCCAGUGAUAAACUGGAGGAA
RNAcentral lists this ribosomal RNA (800 nucleotides) under Glaesserella parasuis. RNAcentral describes it as "bacterial SSU rRNA". It matches the Rfam family "Bacterial small subunit ribosomal RNA", at positions 376 to 1171 of the family's 1533-position model. Lineage: Bacteria; Pseudomonadati; Pseudomonadota; Gammaproteobacteria; Pasteurellales; Pasteurellaceae. The record is from RNAcentral.